GCGUGGUUGAGGCAUGCAAGUCGCACGAGAAGCACGUCGCAAGACGUGUUGUAAAGUGGCGGAAGGGUGAGGAAUGGGUAGAUAACGUACCCUCGAGAUGGGCAUAACGUUCCGAAAGGGACGCUAAUUCCCGAUAAGACCACAGUGUGGAAACGCACAGAGGUCAAAGGCUGGGGAUCUUCGGACCUAGCGCUUGAGGAUCGGUCUGCUCCCUACCAGCUAGUAGGCGGGGUAACGGCCCACCUAGGCUGCGACGGGUACCCGGGCUGAGAGGCUGAUCGGGCACAUCGGCACUGAGACACUGGCCGGACACCUACGGGUGGCUGCAGUUCGGAAUAUUCGGCAAUGGACGAAAGUCUGACCGAGCGACGCCGCGUGCGGGAUGAAGGCCCUCUGGGUUGUAAACCGCUUUCGCGAUUUAACAAGUCAUACUUGUCUAACAAGCGAGUAUGUUGAGCAAGGAUCGUAAAGAAGCCCCCGCUAAUCACGU
Molecule: ribosomal RNA, 490 nt
Filed under: uncultured bacterium
Lineage: Bacteria
Description: bacterial SSU rRNA
Rfam family: Bacterial small subunit ribosomal RNA
Source: RNAcentral